CUUCCUCUGCUCACACACGGUUCUCUCUCUCACUUCUCUCACAUGCGUCUCUCCUCUCCCUCUCGGCCGGCGAAGUCGCCGGUUUUCGCCGCCUCCGGCGCGGCGGGGCCGGUGCCACUUCUUCACCCUCCUUUUCUUCCCCAUUUCAUCUCCUAAAUCUAAAAUCCCAGAAUUAAAAUAGAUCUAGGGAUUCCUAUUUUCAAUUCACGUUCUCCGGUGAGUUCCGCCACUGCCGCCGCCGUCUCCAUCACACCACCGCUACCUCCGUCUCAGGAGUCCAUGAUUCAGGGUGUCUCUCGGAGUGGCUACUGCUCAAGAUCCGAUUUUUAUAUGUGAUUAUAGCUAUUAUUCAUCACUGUUCUUGGUUACUACCUUUAUCAUGUAAAGUUAACUGAAUUGAAAAGAAAGACUACCUUCUUUGA
Long non-coding RNA from Salvia miltiorrhiza (redroot sage), 422 nucleotides. RefSeq lists it as uncharacterized. The transcript has 2 exons. The record is from RefSeq and is a predicted model, not a curated record. Lineage: Eukaryota; Viridiplantae; Streptophyta; Magnoliopsida; Lamiales; Lamiaceae.